Molecule: ribosomal RNA, 108 nt
Filed under: Mannheimia haemolytica D35
Lineage: Bacteria; Pseudomonadati; Pseudomonadota; Gammaproteobacteria; Pasteurellales; Pasteurellaceae
Description: partial 23S ribosomal RNA
Rfam family: Bacterial large subunit ribosomal RNA (bases 1-97)
Source: RNAcentral
UAAGGGUUGUUGGAGACUACGACGUAGAUAGGCUGGGUGUGUAAGUGUUGUGAGACAUUGAGCUAACCAGUACUAAUUGCCCGAGAGGCUUAACUAUACAACGCUCAA